This 305-nucleotide ribosomal RNA is filed under the name uncultured bacterium. RNAcentral's name for it is "partial 16S ribosomal RNA". It matches the Rfam family "Bacterial small subunit ribosomal RNA", at positions 508 to 807 of the family's 1533-position model. The record is from RNAcentral.
ACAGCAGCCGCCGCGGGAAUACGAGGGGGGCAAGCGUUGUUCGGAUUUAUUGGGCGUAAAGGGUGCGUAGGCGGUUUGGCAAGUCUUGUGUGAAAUCUUCGGGCUCAACCCGAAGCCUGCACGAGAAACUACCGGGCUUGAGUAUUGGAGAGGUGAGUGGAAUUUCCGGUGUAGCGGUGAAAUGCGCAGAUAUCGGAAGGAACACCUGUGGCGAAAGCGGCUCACUGGACAAUAACUGACGCUGAUGCACGAAAGCGUGGGGAGCAAACAGGAUUAGAUACCCCCGUAGUCCCUGUCUCUUAUAC